GUGGGGAAUAUUGCACAAUGGGCGCAAGCCUGAUGCAGCGACGCCGCGUGGGGGAUGAAGGCCUUCGGGUUGUAAACUCCUUUCGCUAGGGACGAAGCCUUAUGGUGACGGUACCUGGAGAAGAAGCACCGGCUAACUACGUGCCAGCAGCCGCGGUAAUACGUAGGGUGCGAGCGUUGUCCGGAAUUACUGGGCGUAAAGAGCUCGUAGGUGGUUUGUCGCGUCGUCUGUGAAAUCCCGGGGCUUAACUUCGGGCGUGCAGGCGAUACGGGCAUAACUUGAGUGCUGUAGGGGAGACUGGAAUUCCUGGUGUAGCGGUGAAAUGCGCAGAUAUCAGGAGGAACACCAAUGGCGAAGGCAGGUCUCUGGGCAGUAACUGACGCUGAGGAGCGAAAGCAUGGGUAGCGAACAGG
Molecule: ribosomal RNA, 413 nt
Filed under: uncultured Corynebacterium sp.
Lineage: Bacteria; Bacillati; Actinomycetota; Actinomycetes; Mycobacteriales; Corynebacteriaceae
Description: bacterial SSU rRNA
Rfam family: Bacterial small subunit ribosomal RNA
Source: RNAcentral